Molecule: long non-coding RNA, 186 nt
Organism: Lemur catta (Ring-tailed lemur)
Lineage: Eukaryota; Metazoa; Chordata; Mammalia; Primates; Lemuridae
Exons: 3
Source: RefSeq, a predicted model, not a curated record
CAAACGCCACAGAGACAUUUGGUCUAAAGAAAAAACCUGUGAUCGCUUACCAAAAUUCCUGGUAAUAGGACCUCAGAAAACUGGUACCACUGCUUUGUACUUGUUCCUGGUUAUGCAUCCUUCCAUCCUUAGUAACUCCCCCAGCCCAAAAACCUUUGAGGAGGUAUAUGGAUUUCUUCCCAGUCC